GCUGGGCACGGUAGUGCUUGCCUGUAGUCUUGGCUACUCAAGAGGCUAAGGUGGGAGGCUCACUUGAGCUCAGGAGUUCGAGGCUACAGUGAGCUAUGAUCACACCACUGUACUCCAGCCUGGGCGACAGAGCGAGACCCUGUCUUUA
Non-coding RNA from Gorilla gorilla gorilla (western lowland gorilla), 148 nucleotides. It matches the Rfam family "Metazoan signal recognition particle RNA". Rfam says of the family: The signal recognition particle (SRP) is a universally conserved ribonucleoprotein. It is involved in the co-translational targeting of proteins to membranes. The record is from Rfam. Lineage: Eukaryota; Metazoa; Chordata; Mammalia; Primates; Hominidae.